AUGAUCAAGCAUUAUUCAAAUUCGAGUUCAUUCAAACUCAUUCAGUUUUCAAGACCUUGUUUCAAGAUCAAUUUUCAAAUGGCAUUCAAAGUUUACAAGGCAUUCAUGAGAAGUAUAUAUGGAUCAACGUUCCUAAGAUUCAAGCUUACAAAGAUAUAUUCAAUCACAUGUUACAUCCAAAUUCCAACCUUUCAAAGAAACUACAUUUACAAGCAUACAAGUAACAAAAUUGUUUCAAGAAAGCCUAUACUAAUUUUCAUAUUCAUGACUUUUCAAGCAUCAAUAUAA
Vicia faba (fava bean) is the source of this 288-nucleotide non-coding RNA. The record is from the annotation of a GenBank genome assembly. Lineage: Eukaryota; Viridiplantae; Streptophyta; Magnoliopsida; Fabales; Fabaceae.